RNAcentral lists this ribosomal RNA (468 nucleotides) under uncultured bacterium. RNAcentral's name for it is "partial 16S ribosomal RNA". It matches the Rfam family "Bacterial small subunit ribosomal RNA", at positions 28 to 507 of the family's 1533-position model. The record is from RNAcentral.
GACGAACGCUGGCGGCGUGCUUAACACAUGCAAGUCGAACGGAAAGGCCCUGCUUUUGUGUGGUGCUCGAGUGGCGAACGGGUGAGUAACACGUGAGUAACCUGCCCUUGACUUUGGGAUAACUUCAGGAAACUGGGGCUAAUACCGGAUAGGAGCUCCUGCUGCAUGGUGGGGGUUGGAAAGUUUCGGCGGUUGGGGAUGGACUCGCGGCUUAUCAGCUUGUUGGUGGGGUAGUGGCUUACCAAGGCUUUGACGGGUAGCCGGCCUGAGAGGGUGACCGGCCACAUUGGGACUGAGAUACGGCCCAGUCUCCUACGGGAGGCAGCAGUGGGAAAUAUUGCACAAUGGGCGGAAGCCUGAUGCAGCAACGCCGCGUGCGGGAUGACGGCCUUCGGGUUGUGAACCGCUUUCACCUGUGACGAAGCGUGAGUGACGGUAAUGGGUAAAGAAGCACCGGCUAACUACGUG